GCUGUAGUCCCGGAAGUGACUCCAACGCUUUGUUUGGUGGUCCGGGAAGGCACUUGGCGGACCCCUCUGCAUCCGAGCCGCGACUUCAGAUCCUCGGGGGAGCGUAAACGGGGCAGGGGGGAUAGACGGACCUCCAAGGUGCACCCUAGGAUUUUUUUCCUGGUGGGGCUCCACUCAUCUCAACUUUCCACCUGCGAGGACAGACAAGGACCUGCUGGCCUGCGGAGGAAGAUACAUCUCUUACAGAGAAGACUUCGAAACCACAGUGGGAGAGACCACUGCAAGUACUUCUCACCACCUUCACUGCAAUCAAAAUCAAAGAGCAAAACGCCUAAAUUCAUCACUCUCGGGUGAAGAAGGCCCAGAAACACCUUGAGGAGUGACGCCAGGAGAAAAUGAACUGAGACUAAAACUUACUCGAGCAUAAUGAGUAUAUUGCGGUCGAAAGUAGCUCAUAUUUUAGUUUGUAGAAUUGUUUUGUGUGUAAUCAUAACUGAAGUUUUAGAACUUGAGAGUACCUUUAUUCAGAGCAAUGCUGAAUAGCCUUAGUCCCAAGCGUUUAAUCAGUAUACUAGAUCCAUGAGAAAACCUUCUGAGAUAAAAGAUUUAAACCUAUCCAGUGUAGUAAUUCAUAGAGAUCAAAUAUAUGAAGAGCAAGAAUAGCAAAAACAGAAACUGUGGACACUUCAAGAGAUUAGAAGAGAAGAAAUCAAAGUAAAGUGCCAAAUGAUAAAUGAGACGGCUUAUGAAAGACCAAAUGAAAUUAGUGUCUCAACCUCUCCUAGUGCAUAUAAACACCAAAAAAAUCUGUGAUAGCCUAAAUGAAUCAGACUGCUAGUGUAAUUUCACCUUAAUACAGCCUGUAGAAAUAACUUGCCUUUGGGCACACAAAGAUAUCGGGCUUUCAUUUAAAUUCAAAAUAGACACUACACCUUUUACCACAGAAGGACCCUAUACAGCCCACACCAAGACUCAAAUAGUUGAGACUCAACCCAAACUUGAACCUGAAGUGUAUAGAAUAAGCCCCUAUGUAGUAAAGAAUGUGAGUGAGCAACAACUAUUAUUCAAUCCAGAAUGGUCUCUCAAACGUGUGGUGUUGAUAAUGCAAAUUAACAUCUCAAAAAUCCAACCAGCCUGC
This is a long non-coding RNA of Melospiza melodia melodia, 1138 nucleotides long. RefSeq lists it as uncharacterized. The transcript is spliced from 3 exons. NCBI's taxonomy places the organism in Eukaryota, Metazoa, Chordata, Aves, Passeriformes, Passerellidae. The record is from RefSeq and is a predicted model, not a curated record.